CCCUUAGAUGUCCGGGGCCGCACGCGCGCUACACUGAAGGAAUCAGCGUGGCUUUCUCCCUGACCCGAAAGGGUUGGGAAACCCGUUGAAUCUCCUUCGUGAUAGGGAUUGGGGCUUGAAAUUGUUCCCCAUGAACGAGGAAUUCCCAGUAAGCGCGAGUCAUAAGCUCGCGUUGAUUACGUCCCUGCCCUUUGUACACACCGCCCGUCGCUACUGCCGAUUGAACGGUUUAGUGAGGGCCUCGGAUUGGUCUCGGCCCGCUCUUUACCGGGCGGCGCCGUUGGUCGAGAAGACGCUCGAACUUGAUCGUUUAGAGGAAGUAAAAGUCGUAACA
This 334-nucleotide ribosomal RNA is filed under the name uncultured eukaryote. RNAcentral's name for it is "partial 18S ribosomal RNA". It matches the Rfam family "Eukaryotic small subunit ribosomal RNA", at positions 1470 to 1796 of the family's 1831-position model. The record is from RNAcentral.